UGGCUGGCUGGCUGAAGAGAGUUUGCGUUGGAAUGGAGAAUCUUAGAAGGAGAGGAAGAAAGUGAGGAAGAACCCGAAACCUAGUGAUCAACUCCAACCUAGCUUGAGGUAGACUUUAUCGAACGCGGAGGAGCACACCGUUAAAUGUUGCAAAAUUUUCGGAUAAGGGUGGAGUAGCAAUGAAAUUUUAAUCGUACUGGGACAUAGCUGGUUUUCCGUGAAAGCUAUUUAAGUAACGUGUCUCAUAUGAGGACUUUAAAUAGAGAGCAGAACCAAGGAGAGAAUGGGGAUGGAAUGGAAAGGACGUAUGAACGUAAGAGAAUCUCGAUGUAAACGGGAAGAGAAUCCUUUAAACCAUGGAAAUAAAUCAUUUGAGUACAUGGACUCGUUAGAUAGG
This 397-nucleotide ribosomal RNA is filed under the name Clathrina clathrus. Its description in RNAcentral is "LSU rRNA". The stretch from base 72 to 211 matches the Rfam family "Bacterial large subunit ribosomal RNA", at positions 713 to 852 of the family's 2925-position model. The record is from RNAcentral. Lineage: Eukaryota; Metazoa; Porifera; Calcarea; Clathrinida; Clathrinidae.